AUGUGGAGCGCUUAGAAGUGAGAAUGCCGGUGUGAGUAGCGAAAGACGGGUGAGAAUCCCGUCCACCGAUUGACUAAGGUUUCCAGAGGAAGGCUCGUCCGCUCUGGGUUAGUCGGGUCCUAAGCUGAGGCCGACAGGCGUAGGCGAUGGAUAACAGGUUGAUAUUCCUGUACCACCAUUAUUCGUUUUAAGCGAUGGGGGGACGCAGUAGGAUAGGCGAAGCGUGCUGUUGGAGUGCACGUCCAAGCAGUGAGAUUGAGUGUUAGGCAAAUCCGGCACUCUUAAGAUUGAGCUGUGAUGGGGAGAGGAACUUGUUCCUCGAGUCGUUGAUUUCACACUGCCGAGAAAAGCCUCUAGCUAGAAUAACGGUGCCCGUACCGCAAACCGACACAGGUAGUCAAGAUGAGAAUUCUAAGGUGAGCGAGCGAACUCUCGUUAAGGAACUCGGCAAAAUGACCCCGUAACUUCGGGAGAAGGGGUGCUCUUUGAGGUUCACGCUUCGAAGAGCCGCAGUGAAUAGGCCCAAGCGACUGUUUAUCAAAAACACAGGUCUCUGCUAAACCGUAAGGUGACGUAUAGGGGCUGACGCCUGCCCGGUGCUGGAAGGUUAAGAGGAGUGGUUAGCGCAAGCGAAGCUACGAAUCGAAGCCCCAGUAAACGGCGGCCGUAACUAUAACGGUCCUAAGGUAGCGAAAUUCCUUGUCGGGUAAGUUCCGACCCGCACGAAAGGCGUAACGAUUUGGGCACUGUCUCAACGAGAGACUCGGUGAAAUCAUAGUACCGGUGAAGAUGCCGGUUACCCGCGACAGGACGGAAAGACCCCGUGGAGCUUUACUGUAGCCUGAUAUUGAAAUUCGGUACAGUUUGUACAGGAUAGGUAGGAGCCUUAGAAGCGUGAGCGCUAGCUUACGUGGAGGCAUUGGUGGGAUACUACCCUAAUUGUAUUGGAUUUCUAACCCGCAGCACUUAUCGUGCUGGGAGACAGUGUCAGGCGGGCAGUUUGACUGGGGCGGUCGCCUCCUAAAGAGUAACGGAGGCGCUCAAAGGUUCCCUCAGAAUGGUUGGAAAUCAUUCAUAGAGUGUAAAGGCAUAAGGGAGCUUGACUGCGAGACCUACAAGUCGAGCAGGGUCGAAAGACGGACUUAGUGAUCCGGUGGUUCCGCAUGGAAGGGCCAUCGCUCA
Molecule: ribosomal RNA, 1182 nt
Filed under: Staphylococcus pseudintermedius
Lineage: Bacteria; Bacillati; Bacillota; Bacilli; Caryophanales; Staphylococcaceae
Description: partial 23S ribosomal RNA
Rfam family: Bacterial large subunit ribosomal RNA
Source: RNAcentral